AGCAGCCGCGGUAAUUCCAGCUCCAAUAGCGUAUAUUAAAGUUGUUGCAGUUAAAAAGCUCGUAGUUGAAUUUCGGGGUUAGUAGGUUGGUCAUGCCUCUGGUAUGUACUGGUCUCACUGAUUCCUCCUUCCUGAUGAGCCGUAAUGCCAUUAAUUUGGUGUUGCGGGGAAUUUGGACUGUUACUUUGAAAAAAUUAGAGUGUUUAAAGCAAGCUAACGCUUGAAUACAUUAGCAUGGAAUAAUGAAAUAGGACGUUCGAUCCUAUUUUGUUGGUUUCUAGGAUUGACGUAAUGAUUAAUAGGGAUAGUUGGGGGCAUUAGUAUUCAAUUGUCAGAGGUGAAAUUCUUGGAUUUAUUGAAGACUAACUACUGCGAAAGCAUUUGCCAAGGAUGUUUUCAUUAAUCAAGAACGAAAGUUAGGGGAUCGAAGACGAUCAGAUACCGUCGUAGUCUUAACCAUAAACUAUG
This 468-nucleotide small RNA is filed under the name uncultured Glomus. RNAcentral describes it as "SSU rRNA". It matches the Rfam family "Eukaryotic small subunit ribosomal RNA", at positions 569 to 1041 of the family's 1831-position model. The record is from RNAcentral. Lineage: Eukaryota; Fungi; Glomeromycota; Glomeromycetes; Glomerales; Glomeraceae.